GGGCCCAAAACUGUUGUACUAGACUUGGAAUUUGCUUCUGAUCACGUCUAGUACAACAGGUUGGGCCUGU
Molecule: non-coding RNA, 70 nt
Organism: Cordylochernes scorpioides
Lineage: Eukaryota; Metazoa; Arthropoda; Arachnida; Pseudoscorpiones; Chernetidae
Source: the annotation of a GenBank genome assembly